RNAcentral lists this ribosomal RNA (522 nucleotides) under uncultured beta proteobacterium. RNAcentral describes it as "SSU rRNA". It matches the Rfam family "Bacterial small subunit ribosomal RNA", at positions 9 to 526 of the family's 1533-position model. Lineage: Bacteria; Pseudomonadati; Pseudomonadota; Betaproteobacteria. The record is from RNAcentral.
GAGUUUGAUCCUGGCUCAGAUUGAACGCUGGCGGCAUGCCUUACACAUGCAAGUCGAACGGCAGCACGGGAGCAAUCCUGGUGGCGAGUGGCGAACGGGUGAGUAAUAUAUCGGAACGUACCUUUCAGUGGGGGAUAACGUAGCGAAAGUUACGCUAAUACCGCAUAUUCUGUGAGCAGGAAAGCAGGGGAUCGCAAGACCUUGCGCUGAUUGAGCGGCCGAUAUCAGAUUAGCUAGUUGGUGAGGUAAAGGCUCACCAAGGCGACGAUCUGUAGCGGGUCUGAGAGGAUGAUCCGCCACACUGGAACUGAGACACGGCCCAGACUCCUACGGGAGGCAGCAGUGGGGAAUUUUGGACAAUGGGCGCAAGCCUGAUCCAGCCAUGCCGCGUGAGUGAAGAAGGCCUUCGGGUUGUAAAGCUCUUUCAGCCGGGAAGAAAUCACAUGGGUUAAUACCCUGUGUGGAUGACGGUACCGGAAUAAGAAGCACCGGCUAACUACGUGCCAGCAGCCGCGGUAAUAC